Molecule: non-coding RNA, 224 nt
Organism: Macaca mulatta (Rhesus monkey)
Lineage: Eukaryota; Metazoa; Chordata; Mammalia; Primates; Cercopithecidae
Source: RefSeq, a predicted model, not a curated record
ACAGGUUCCAACACAGUAAAUCAAAGGCUACAAUAACCUGGGCCAUUCACUAUGGUCACAAGCAGAUGAUACAGCUUUAAGCAGGUUCAGACUCCAGCCAAACACAGUUCUGUAUUGAAUAAGAUUCUGCAUCAAUGAGGAGAAGUGUCAUAGGAGGCCUCAUAAGACACCAGAUGACCAAUUACAGGAGAAUCAUCAGAAAGAGAACAAGAAAGACUGAGGUA